RNAcentral lists this long non-coding RNA (552 nucleotides) under Sus scrofa (pig). Its description in RNAcentral is "lncRNA (ENSSSCG00005020631.1)". The record is from RNAcentral. Lineage: Eukaryota; Metazoa; Chordata; Mammalia; Artiodactyla; Suidae.
CUGGCACUAGGACCCUGCAGAGAGGGAACCCUGAGCCUGCGCUCUAAAGAGAGAGAUGCACCAUUUCACAACUUCAGCAAAAGCCAAAGCAGCCAACAAAGCCACAGCCACCUCGGCUGUGCUGGGCUCUGCCUUUUGGGCAGCUCACCGGCCACUCCCCAGCAGAGCGUUCUGUCCUUUCUCUUUUAAAAGCCACGUCAUCGUCUGAUCAUAAUGGAAAUCAAUCUCCUCAAGUCACCACGCAAAGGCGUCUCCAUGGCAACCUCAAGAGGAAGGACACAGAAAUGAUGCUCCAGUGGCUGAAGCAGAAAAAGGGAAGGAAUGCCAUUUCUGCAGAGGAAACCUGUAGCUCCGAAUGGGUUCAGGGGUGCCUCGGGCGCUCCCAGGAAAGGAGGUGAACCCUUGCAGUUCUGGAGGAAUUCGGAGGCGCAAUCACUCGGACCCCGGGAGAAUACCGCCAGGCUGAAGAGCUCAGGUGCUAACCUGAGGCCCCUUCUGAUGGGGAACCUGAACAGGACCCCAAGGACCCCAAAAUUUCCUCCCAACCUGUGA